GAUGAACGCUGGCGGCGUGCCUAAUACAUGCAAGUCGAGCGAACAGACGAGGAGCUUGCUCCUCUGACGUUAGCGGCGGACGGGUGAGUAACACGUGGAUAACCUACCUAUAAGACUGGGAUAACUUCGGGAAACCGGAGCUAAUACCGGAUAAUAUAUUGAACCGCAUGGUUCAAUAGUGAAAUACGGUUUUGCUGUCACUUAUAGAUGGAUCCGCGCCGCAUUAGCUAGUUGGUAAGGUAACGGCUUACCAGGGCGACGAUGCGUAGCCGACCUGAGAGGGGGAACGGGCACAGAGGAGCUGAGACACGGGCCAGAGUCCGAGGGAAGGCAGCGGUAGGGAAUCGUACGAAAUGGGGGAAAGCCUGACGAAGCAACGGCGGGGGAGUGAUGAAGGUCUGCGGAUGGUAAAACGCUGUUAUUAGGGAAAAACGAAUGUGUAAGUAACUAUGCGCGAGUGAACGGAAUCUAAACAGAAGGCCACGGCUAACUAGGU
RNAcentral lists this ribosomal RNA (496 nucleotides) under uncultured bacterium. RNAcentral's name for it is "partial 16S ribosomal RNA". It matches the Rfam family "Bacterial small subunit ribosomal RNA", at positions 28 to 506 of the family's 1533-position model. The record is from RNAcentral.